GCUGUAGCUCAGUAGUAGAGCAUCUUGCCUUGCAUGCAGAAGACCCUGGGUUCAAUCCCCAGCAUCUCCA
This 70-nucleotide transfer RNA is filed under the name Podarcis lilfordi (Lilford's wall lizard). RNAcentral describes it as "tRNA.Ala". It matches the Rfam family "tRNA". Rfam says of the family: Transfer RNA (tRNA) molecules are approximately 80 nucleotides in length. Their secondary structure includes four short double-helical elements and three loops (D, anti-codon, and T loops). The record is from RNAcentral. Lineage: Eukaryota; Metazoa; Chordata; Lepidosauria; Squamata; Lacertidae.